This 253-nucleotide ribosomal RNA is filed under the name uncultured bacterium. Its description in RNAcentral is "partial 16S ribosomal RNA". It matches the Rfam family "Bacterial small subunit ribosomal RNA", at positions 524 to 776 of the family's 1533-position model. The record is from RNAcentral.
UACGUAGGUGACCAGCGUUGUCCGGAUUUACUGGGCGUAAAGAGCGCGCAGGCGGUCGUUCAAGUCGAGUGUGAAAGCCCCCGGCUCAACUGGGGAGGGUCAUUCGAUACUGAUCGACUGGAAGGCAGGAGAGGGAAGCGGAAUUCCCGGUGUAGUGGUGAAAUGCGUAGAUAUCGGGAGGAACACCAGUGGCGAAGGCGGCUUCCUGGCCUGUUCUUGACGCUGAGGCGCGAAAGCUAGGGGAGCGAACGGG